This 1468-nucleotide ribosomal RNA is filed under the name uncultured organism. RNAcentral describes it as "SSU rRNA". It matches the Rfam family "Bacterial small subunit ribosomal RNA". The record is from RNAcentral.
GCCUAAUACAUGCAAGUCGAGCGAGCGGAACUAACAGAUUUACUUCGGUAAUGACGUUAGGAAAGCGAGCGGCGGAUGGGUGAGUAACACGUGGGGAACCUGCCCCAUAGUCUGGGAUACCACUUGGAAACAGGUGCUAAUACCGGAUAAGAAAGCAGAUCGCAUGAUCAGCUUUUAAAAGGCGGCGUAAGCUGUCGCUAUGGGAUGGCCCCGCGGUGCAUUAGCUAGUUGGUAAGGUAAAGGCUUACCAAGGCGAUGAUGCAUAGCCGAGUUGAGAGACUGAUCGGCCACAUUGGGACUGAGACACGGCCCAAACUCCUACGGGAGGCAGCAGUAGGGAAUCUUCCACAAUGGACGCAAGUCUGAUGGAGCAACGCCGCGUGAGUGAAGAAGGUUUUCGGAUCGUAAAGCUCUGUUGUUGGUGAAGAAGGAUAGAGGUAGUGACUGGCCUUUAUUUGACGGUAAUCAACCAGAAAGUCACGGCUAACUACGUGCCAGCAGCCGCGGUAAUACGUAGGUGGCAAGCGUUGUCCGGAUUUAUUGGGCGUAAAGCGAGCGCAGGCGGAAGAAUAAGUCUGAUGUGAAAGCCCUCGGCUUAACCGAGGAACUGCAUCGGAAACUGUUUUUCUUGAGUGCAGAAGAGGAGAGUGGAACUCCAUGUGUAGCGGUGGAAUGCGUAGAUAUAUGGAAGAACACCAGUGGCGAAGGCGGCUCUCUGGUCUGCAACUGACGCUGAGGCUCGAAAGCAUGGGUAGCGAACAGGAUUAGAUACCCUGGUAGUCCAUGCCGUAAACGAUGAGUGCUAAGUGUUGGGAGGUUUCCGCCUCUCAGUGCUGCAGCUAACGCAUUAAGCACUCCGCCUGGGGAGUACGACCGCAAGGUUGAAACUCAAAGGAAUUGACGGGGGCCCGCACAAGCGGUGGAGCAUGUGGUUUAAUUCGAAGCAACGCGAAGAACCUUACCAGGUCUUGACAUCUAGUGUCAUUUGUAGAGAUACAAAGUUCCCUUCGGGGACGCUAAGACAGGUGGUGCAUGGCUGUCGUCAGCUCGUGUCGUGAGAUGUUGGGUUAAGUCCCGCAACGAGCGCAACCCUUGUUAUUAGUUGCCAGUAUUAAGUUGGGCACUCUAAUGAGACUGCCGGUGACAAACCGGAGGAAGGUGGGGAUGACGUCAAGUCAUCAUGCCCCUUAUGACCUGGGCUACACACGUGCUACAAUGGGCAGUACAACGAGAAGCGAGCCUGCGAAGGCAAGCGAAUCUCUGAAAGCUGUUCUCAGUUCGGACUGCAGUCUGCAACUCGACUGCACGAAGCUGGAAUCGCUAGUAAUCGCGGAUCAGCACGCCGCGGUGAAUACGUUCCCGGGCCUUGUACACACCGCCCGUCACACCAUGGGAGUCUGCAAUGCCCAAAGCCGGUGGCCUAACCUUCGGGAAGGAGCCGUCUAAGGCAGGGCAGAUGACUGGGGUG